Molecule: non-coding RNA, 28 nt
Filed under: Mus musculus (house mouse)
Lineage: Eukaryota; Metazoa; Chordata; Mammalia; Rodentia; Muridae
Source: RNAcentral
UGACAAAUGGAGAUUCCCUACAGACACU